UACGCAUUGUUUGAUCUUCGAUUUCAGACGCCAACAGAAAGCUCAGCUGUCAGGAAGACUUCGGGUUUAUUUGACUCGAAUUCUAUUCCUUAUAAUAACACCAUUUUGAUUGUGGGAUCCUUACUUUGCUUUGCCGUGGUUGUCGGACUCAYAUGGCAAUGUAUUUGUAAGAGAAAGGCAAAGAACAAAAUACACCYGUACGAUGCAAUGUACAAAAAUGAAGUAGCGCAAUUGAGGAAAAUCGUCGACGAAUUUGUCAGGAAUAUGAAAGCAAAUACAGAAURUUUGAGAAAMGCACACAGAGAAGACAUAAAAAAGCUAAUACAGCUCGAGAAAGAAAAGAAAAAACGUCAAAGAGAGGAAACCGGCCAAGAAAGACCACAGGUAGUCCAAUCAUGUUAAAAGAAAUUGUAUGGCGAUACUUAAAAAACCUUAAUAAAAUCGUCCAAAUGUAAAAUAAAUUGAAGAAUUUUUAGCUGACCUUUGAAACGUAGUACCUCUUUUGCCUUGUUUACUUAGAUUUCGGAUAUACUAAAUUUUCUUUCUUAACUUUUUUCUUUUUCACAUUUUGACGAGGUUUUUAAGCAUCACUAUUAGCAUUAAUAGCAUUAAUAUGACACCACAGGAACCUAGCUUGGGCUACCUGUGGAAAAAACCAAAGUUUACUAAUGAGCCCUUUGCAGCUCAGUAAUCACGUACUGAUUAAUUCACUGAGAGAAAAUGAAUGAACAUCUUGUUUUCCAUGGGUGAAUUCAAGAGAAUAUUCUCUUGGUGAAAUAUACUAGUGAGCAAAAUAAAUUUCUACAACCCGUUUCAAAAGAUCAUAAUAAAACUGCGUCUUGUGACACACUGGUUACACAUCGUUUCAUUCAGUUCUUUACAAAGUAGCUAAAAAAGAAUCUCCAAUUUAAAAUAAAAAAUUAGCUCAACAGUACAGCCACGUAACCGUUAACUGCAAAGGGCCUAUUGGAUACUAGCUUCGUAAGUAAUGUAAUCGUAUAGUCGCAAUCGUAAUCUUAAAGGUACGACGCAAGCAGAAUCGUAAGCAUCGCUUCCUUGUUAUUUUCGAAUAGAUUCCUGCCAGCUUCGAAAUAUUCAAAGCUGAGAGAGAAAGUUUUUURYGCAACGAUUGAUCACUGUCUUUUUUUCUUCCUUUUAUCAGACUUGAAACGUUUCCAUUUUUCUGCUUUUAAUCAUGAACGUUUUGAGAGUCCUUGUCCGCAUUUCAGUUCUUUUUAUAUAAGUGUAUGUAUUUGGUUAUUUUUAUUUCUUUGUUAUUUAAAAAAUAACAAGGACAACAACAAAAAAUAAGUCACUAGUAUAAUAUUUGUUUUCAACAAGUAAAACACUUCAAAGAAAAGUAUUUGACGGAUACAACUUUUGCCCCAAAGCUUCAGUGCAAACAGAAGUAUUAAUCAGAAGCUUGGAUUUUUUUAAUGUGCUGACCGUUUUUGAAAAAUUCCACCUUCAACAAUUUACAAUAAAAUCUAACAAAAGGCAACUCACUCAAAAAUUUUUGAAGGUGGAUUUUUCAAUAAAGGUGCACCUUUACAAGUAAUUUCCGGCGUCGUAGGAGUCAAAUGGUUAACGUAAUGUACAUAAGAACUAAACUUGUAUGAUCUUGAUUACAAUUUAAAAUAAAUAGUAUAGCUAUGAGUGGUGUUUUGAAAAUUCAAGGGCUUAUGCUUUUAUUAUCAAACUGCUUAUUAAUAGAGAAARGUGUUUAGUGAUAAAAUUACAAAAUUCUUGAAAUAAUCGUAUCGGCUGAACCUUGUGUAMAUGCAGAAAGUGAUUUUCCUCAUUCAUGGAAUUGUUCAUAAUUCCUGCAAUUAAGCAUAAUUCCCCGAGUUCCUUUUGGCUAGAGACCRAUGAUAAAUCAUUUCUAUACUACUGUCCUAGCUUAGCUUAGUCCAAGCUACUAAAUAAUUUUAUCAUAAAAGAAACAGUGAGUAGACUAGUAGAGGUUGAAUAUUUGUUAUUUCCAACAUUUUUGUUGGGGUCUAUUUGACUAAGUAUCAGUAUACACUGACUAUACUUAACAUUCUUUAACAGUCUGAGGAAAGUCACUCUACUCGCAAUAAUGUGUGUGUAUAUAUAUAUAUAUAUUUUAGCUCCUAUUUCUAGCCCAAUAUAUUGUAAUAUAAAGUGCACGUCAUAUAUCCUUUAAGGCAAAACCAAAGAUGUAAUGUCAAAUUUGAUUGAAUGAACAGCAAAACCAUAAUUUCAAGUCGAGGUUCAUCAUGACUUGAUGAAUAAAAUAAUCAAGUUUGGUCUUGACAUAGUUAAUGGAGCAGAAUGGUUGGGAAACCCAUUGUUCUAUGUUUUUGUUCAACUUUAUCCAUUGUUAUAUGACAUUGACGGUGCACAGAAAAGGAAAAGUUUCUCCAUUUGUUCAUAGUAUUCGGGAAUAUAAAAGUUUUUAACCCUAAAAAACGUUCUAAAAUAAUUAUUUGUUAAUUAAUCCUAUAUGAUUAAUACAAAUUGUUUAUUGAAAAGGAAAUUGCCUUUUUUCAUGCUUUCUUAUUCAUCAUCUAGUAACUUAACUGUAUCUGCGCGGAAGUAUUUAUCCGCAUAGUUUGUGGUCAUCGAAUGAAAGUUUUCACUUUCAAAAUGUUCGUACAUGAAAAUAAUAAGGAAAUGAGCAUUUUCAGCCAUACCUACUUUGGUUCAUUGUGCACCCUCAGUAUCACGUGAUGGUACGGUUCAACAUCAAACGCAAAACAAUAGCUUUGUUCUAUGGAGUUUCCAAACCAUUCCGCUCCAUUAACUAUGGUCUUGACUUCUAACCACUGUUAGUUUGGUGGCAUGGAAAAGGUAUAUUGUAGCUAUCAGUUGUGCAAAAUAGUAAAUGUAUAKCAUUGGAGGAGUAGARCAUUGCAAACUACAAAAAGCAAACACCUCUAGAGGGUCCUGAAAAGGAAAAAUGGGAGCUUGCAUUUCAUGUUUUGUGGGCUGGGAAAAUGGGAUUGUGUGUACUGGGAAUGGACUAUGGRAUUUGGUCAAAAUGGGGGCUGGGAAAUGGGAUAAGGACCCCCUCCCCCCUUUCAGGACUCUUCUUUACCUCUUUGUUUGGUAAUGCCUGAGUAUUGGACAACCAAAAAUAAUUGAUACUAAAUGCAUAGUGCUGUACAUAGCUAUAGUUGGGGGUGGAUCUAGGAGUUGAUUAGGGGGGGUGUCCCAAAUAAAAAAAAAAACAUGCGUAUAUAGAUAAGCAUUCAUCACUUCAGAAGAUGGUAAUUUACGGCGUUAUUAGAUACGUGUGCGGUACACCACAAGACACCCCCUGGAUCCGCCCCUCCUAGAUAUAUUUUAAAACUCUAGAUUGUUAGAUUUUUAUGCUUUGUUCUCAGAUUAAAUCAAUUYUUUUCUUGUAAUCUUCGAUAUCUUGUUUACUGAUUGAAUAAAGACUGUCAAUGUUAAUAGCCA
Actinia tenebrosa (Australian red waratah sea anemone) is the source of this 3426-nucleotide long non-coding RNA. Lineage: Eukaryota; Metazoa; Cnidaria; Anthozoa; Actiniaria; Actiniidae. The record is from RefSeq and is a predicted model, not a curated record.